CAUUGUAGCUUUAGAUUCUUCAUAUGCUUGUAGAUGGAAAAAAAGAAAUGGGGAGGACAAAAGUAGCGUUAGUUUUUUUAAGAAACACUAUGCAUAUAUAAAAAGGUUCUGAUACGAAAUAAGAUCAGCAAUUACCCAGCUUUCAAAUUUGCACAUAUUUAUGGGUCUAUGGGAAAUCGAGUAUACUUUGCACCUCACUUUAUGUUUUGACCCACAAAGUGAUAUACAGCAAGAGACCGAAUAUUUAUGUUAUAUCUGAUGCAUACCAAUUCACCUUAGCCCAUUUGUCUCAUUUGGAUCAUAAGAAGACAAAAACAGUAACUAAGUAUUCGGACUGAUAUUGGCCGAUUAGGUUCUAUUAGAAAUGGCCAAACAGUCAAAAAUCAAGCCUUUGCGAUGAGCAAAGGUGGUUUUCAAGUAAUUUGGGUCCACAAUUUUGUGAUUUUCUCAUUUUAUGAAAGCUUUGUUUAUGUAAUUACAUUAUGGUUUCCAUUUUUUUUGACAUAUAUUUUUUUCUUUUGUCUCUAGUAUUCAAAUAUGGGUUUAAUUCAAAAUUUUCAUUUUUAGGAUUUUUUUUAAUUAUUCAGUGUCAAGUUAGAAAAUUGAUAUAUUUUUCAUUUCCUAGUCAAAUUGAGAGUUUUUACUAUUAUAAAUAAGGUUAUAUGUUUUAGGGCUAUUUAAUUUUUUUGGGUUGAUUAUUAAUAAAAUUCAAAUAAUAGUUAUCUACGUUGUGUUUGUUCGGGAUUCUUCUUGUUUCUUUGUUCUUCUCUCAUGCGCUUCAUAUAAAGUUUGUGCUUAUAUGAGCAUAAGCAAACAGUAGAACAUUUGACUUUGUUUUCUUAAACAUUAAGGCAAAGAUUAACCUAGUGGUGGCUGUUAAGCUUGUGUGCAUGUCUUUCUAAAUCAUCAAGUUUGGGCAAGGCACUACAAGAGUGAUGAUCUAAGCUUUGGGUUAUGGUCCUUCAGCUUUAUUUGCAUGUGCUACAAGAGUGAUGAUCUAAGCUUUAUUUUUGUGGGUUUUAAGGGUUUGUGGUUAUUCAUGACUGUAUAUGCCCUGCUGUUUGUUAAGAGUUCUCAUUUUUUGUGCUAGAGUUUCAUGUUUGAAAGCCUCAUCAGGAGUUGUAAAUGUAUUGGGAGUUUCAUAUGCUGAAGGUUUCUUUAUCUGUAACUUUUUUCACAUUUUAACAACCAAUACUAUCUUUUUGCUUUGUGGAGUUUGCUUGAUAUGUAUAUAUAGUGCUCUUCGCAGCUAUUCUUUAUCAGAGCACCUUCGGUAGCCUAAAAACUCACCAUAGAACCCAAGUAGUUGUUAAACGUUGUGGCUAGGUAAGUUGUUUCAGCUUGAGGAGGGCUCAUAAUUCUCCAACUAGAGUUUUCAAUUUCCCGUUCCAAUGUCAUCUAUUCCAAUGAUUUCAAUUGUCGAUAGUGUGAUUUGAGUUGGAACAAAUGUUUUUCAUUUUUCCCUUAUUUUUUUAUUUUUGUUCUCGUACUUGUUUCUCCAUGCUACUUCUGGUGGCACGUUAUGGCUUAUCAAAUUUCUUUUUCUUAUACCCAUAUUCAAGCCCGUCUUUUAUACAUGAUGUUUUUAUGGUUGCAAGAGCAAUAUUAGGUAAAUUUUGAGUGUUCAUUAGUGACUAAUUAUGUACUAUACUUCUUUAUUUGUUUUUUCUAAGCCGUUACACAUUGCCUUAGAUAUAGGUUUAUGUGUAGUUUCUUUUUCAGUAAUUUGUAUGCCUCCAUUUUGCAGGUCUACGGGCACAUAGUUUGACAGUUGAUCAUUAUCAAGGAAUUUGUUAAUCUUUAACUUCGAAAGUGUUGUUCUCUCUGUAACUUUGUGGGAUUACCAUUAAGUGAUUUGUUAGACUUUUAAAGGAUGGUCAUUUCCAUAUAUUAUUCCCUACCUUGUGGUUCCAUUGGUGGUAAUAGUUCCACAUUAGAACUCUUAUAUUGCUGCUAUUGUGAGUUGAGAAAAGUUCACAUCUA
Non-coding RNA from Camellia sinensis, 1983 nucleotides. The record is from RefSeq and is a predicted model, not a curated record. Lineage: Eukaryota; Viridiplantae; Streptophyta; Magnoliopsida; Ericales; Theaceae.